GACGAACGCUGGCGGCGUGCCUAACACAUACAAGUGGAGCGACGAACCAGGGCUUGCCCUGGGGCGAAGCCGCGAACGGGUGAGUAACACGUGGGUAACCUGUCCUAAUGACUGGAAUAACCCGAGGAAACUCGAGCUAAUACCGGAUAUGCCCCCAGCUCAUAAGAGCUGUGUGUAAAGGAAGCUUCGGCCUCCGCAUUAGGAUGGGCCCGCGGACCAUUAGCUUGUUGGUGGGGUAAUGGCCUACCAAGGCAACGAUGGUUAGCUGGUCUGAGAGGACGAUCAGCCACACUGGGACUGAGACACGGCCCAGACGCCUACGGGAGGCAGCAGUGGGGAAUCUUGCGCAAUGCGCGAAAGCGUGACGCAGCAACGCCGCGUGAGGGAAGAAGGCUCUCGGGUUGUAAACCGCUGUCAGUGUGGAGGAAAGCUCGGUGUAUAGCCGAGUUUGACUAAUACGCAGAGGAAGUGAGGGCUAAACUCGUGCCAGCAGCCGCAGUAA
RNAcentral lists this ribosomal RNA (502 nucleotides) under uncultured bacterium. RNAcentral's name for it is "partial 16S ribosomal RNA". It matches the Rfam family "Bacterial small subunit ribosomal RNA", at positions 28 to 523 of the family's 1533-position model. The record is from RNAcentral.